UCUCUUACUCUCUGCAGAGUGUCUCCAUCAAACCCCUCCCCCACCAGGGCUCAGACAACCCUGUGGAAGAGGAGACAGAAAGAGCAGAAGAGACCGAAGGGAUGGAAGACACGGAGAAAGCAAGGCCCUGCAAGCCAACAUGAUCAAAGGUCACAGGAACUCACAGAGACUGAGGCAGCGUGCACAGGGCCUGCAGGGUCUGCACGGGGCCUCCACAUCGAUUUUAUGGUUUCCAGGAAGAGAAAACUUGGAAGUGAAAAUGUACUUACUGGGAAAACUGAAGAAAAGAGAGAAGAUGGCCAUAUAGCACAAAGGAUCCACAAACUGAUCUGUCUCUUUCCAUGGUGAUUUGUUUCCAACCUCCAGAGCCAAGCCAAGAGCCUCCUGUUUCUUCAUCUUUUAUUAUCUCUGUGUGCAGCUGAGGAAUGCAGCCUUUAAACAGCUCAAAUGGCUGGAAGCCAAGGGAAGAACCUAUCACAACAGUGUCCUGCCCUCCAUGAAGAAUACCCAACUCCACUGAAACUUCACAUUCUGCCUUCACCACGAGCAAGUAGCUGCGGUCACCCUACUCUCCAUCACCCUUGGGUCCCACCAACACUUCAGAGGAGAUGGGGAGAAAGAGAAGAGAUGGCUUCCAAGAAAGGUUAAGGUUAGGGCCCAGGUAUCAUCUGUCAACUGGAGUUAUCCACAGCAGCCUCAGUCCUCAUGAUUCACCUGAUUCUUUGAGCUCAGCAGCACCCUGCCAUUUGCCUUCUUUAUAGUACUGUGACCGUAUCACCUAUCUGUUGCCCCCCAACUCUGAAUCAUUUUCCACAACAAUCCUAAGGGGUAGACAGUGAAAGCAAUUAUGCUGGUUGGCUUCAACUGUAGCUGACAAUUACCUGAGAAGAGAGCCUCAAUAGAAACAUUACCUAGAUCAGGUUGGUCUUUAGGGGACUGUCUUGAUUGCUGAUUAGUGUGGGAAGACCCAGUCCAUUGUAGGUAGACCCAAUACCUGGGUAGGGGUUCCCAGAUUGUAUAGGACAGAAGAAAUCUAGAUGAGUAGAAAGCAAGCAAGAAGCCAUCCAUUUAUUCUCUUGCUCUUAACCAAGGACGUGAUGUUUCAAGUUCCUGCCUUGUCUUCCCUGCAAGAUGGGCAAAUAAAUCUGGAACUGUUUCUUCCCUAAAGCUGCUUUUGGUUGUGGUAUUUUGUCACAGCAACAGAAACAAGACUGGAAUAAAAUCACUCUCUGGGAAGGCUGGCCAGCCUCUUCUACCUUAGCCUCUUCUAAGUCUGGAAACUGAAGUUUGUUUGG
Peromyscus californicus insignis is the source of this 1295-nucleotide long non-coding RNA. RefSeq lists it as uncharacterized. The record is from RefSeq and is a predicted model, not a curated record. The transcript has 4 exons. NCBI's taxonomy places the organism in Eukaryota, Metazoa, Chordata, Mammalia, Rodentia, Cricetidae.